Long non-coding RNA from Myotis daubentonii (Daubenton's bat), 160 nucleotides. RefSeq lists it as uncharacterized. NCBI's taxonomy places the organism in Eukaryota, Metazoa, Chordata, Mammalia, Chiroptera, Vespertilionidae. The record is from RefSeq and is a predicted model, not a curated record.
CACCCAGAAAGAUACGUGCAUUUUCUCUUCCUUAAGGAAUCAGAAUUGAAGAGACAAGGAAAAGAAUAAUCAGUGAGAGCAGAAGCUGCAAGACACGGAGAGAAGGCAAUAUUCACACUUCAUGAAUGUGAUGUUUGCCACACUAGCCACAUUCUUGGAC